This 301-nucleotide ribosomal RNA is filed under the name uncultured bacterium. RNAcentral's name for it is "partial 16S ribosomal RNA". It matches the Rfam family "Bacterial small subunit ribosomal RNA", at positions 509 to 807 of the family's 1533-position model. The record is from RNAcentral.
CAGUCGCCGCGGUAAAACGGAGGGAGCUAGCGUUGUUCGGAAUCACUGGGCGUAAAGCGCACGUAGGCGGCUAUUCAAGUCAGGGGUGAAAGCCCGGGGCUCAACCCCGGAACUGCCUUUGAAACUAGAUAACUUGAAUCUUGGAGAGGCGAGUGGAAUUCCGAGUGUAGAGGUGAAAUUCGUAGAUAUUCGGAAGAACACCAGUGGCGAAGGCGACUCGCUGGACAAGUAUUGACGCUGAGGUGCGAAAGCGUGGGGAGCAAACAGGAUUAGAUACCCGGGUAGUCCCUGUCUCUUAUAC